RNAcentral lists this long non-coding RNA (556 nucleotides) under Danio rerio (zebrafish). Its description in RNAcentral is "lncRNA si:dkey-27k4.6 (ENSDARG00000105576.2)". The record is from RNAcentral. Lineage: Eukaryota; Metazoa; Chordata; Actinopteri; Cypriniformes; Danionidae.
AGAGUUGGAAAUGGUAAAGGGGACUACAGUAUAUCCAAAAUUAAAAGAACCAUGGGAUUGGCAUUUCACAUCUGCUCAGGACGGACCGAUCUGGAACCUUGCUAACCCCGGCGAACGUCCAAGUGUCUGUAAGCAAUCACUGCUGACUUGAUUGACAUGCCAGAGCAAAACAAUUCAUGCUGAUUGUCAAAGUGAAUUACAAUAUGAAGCUGGGGUGGGUAUGGGGUGAGAAAGAACAUGAGCGAGGGAGAGGCAUAUACUUUGAGUCGGAGUUCAGCUGCUGUCUCUAAUCAUUAAAACAUGCAUGUUUUAAUGAUUUAUAUUAGCUCAUAAUGAGCUCUGAUCUGGUGCUGUGUGUUAUCUCUCAACUUUGAAUGUGUACAUCUCUUUCCAGUGAUUUACGCCACGAAUUUAUUCUAAAGCACGCAUGGACACGUUCACUUACACUCUGGCGCUCUUCCAUAUAGCCAGCUGCUGAUAUGGUCCUCUUCGCCUGCAUUGUGCUGAGGUUGUUUAAGGUUUUGUGCUUGCUGUGUUAGUUUAGCAGUAAAUAAAC